UUACGGCCAUAUUACUUUGAAGCGCCGGUUCUCAUACGAUCUUUGGAGUUAAGCAUUUUCGAGCCUAGUCAAUACCUUGAUGGGUGACCUCUUGGAAAUACCAGAUGUUGUAAG
Molecule: non-coding RNA, 114 nt
Organism: Acanthosepion pharaonis
Lineage: Eukaryota; Metazoa; Mollusca; Cephalopoda; Sepiida; Sepiidae
Source: the annotation of a GenBank genome assembly